RNAcentral lists this ribosomal RNA (407 nucleotides) under Verrucomicrobiota bacterium. Its description in RNAcentral is "Verrucomicrobia bacterium partial 16S ribosomal RNA". It matches the Rfam family "Bacterial small subunit ribosomal RNA", at positions 355 to 776 of the family's 1533-position model. Lineage: Bacteria; Pseudomonadati; Verrucomicrobiota. The record is from RNAcentral.
UGGGGAAUAUUGGACAAUGGAGGGAACUCUGAUCCAGCAAUUCUGUGUGUGUGAAGAAGGUUUUAGGACUGUAAAACACUUUUAGUAGGGAAGAAAAAAAUGACGGUACAUACAGAAGAAGCAACGGCUAAAUACGUGCCAGCAGCCGCGGUAAUACGUAUGUUGCGAGCGUUAUCCGGAAUUAUUGGGCUUAAAGGGCAUCUAGGCGGUAAGACAAGUUGAAGGUGAAAACCUGUGGCUCAACCAUAGGCUUGCCUACAAAACUGUUGAACUAGAGUACUGGAAAGGUGGGUGGAACUACACGAGUAGAGGUGAAAUUCGUAGAUAUGUGUAGGAAUGCCGAUGAUGAAGAUAACUCACUGGACAGAAACUGACGCUGAAGUGCGAAAGCUAGGGGAGCAAACAGG